This 305-nucleotide ribosomal RNA is filed under the name uncultured bacterium. Its description in RNAcentral is "bacterial SSU rRNA". It matches the Rfam family "Bacterial small subunit ribosomal RNA", at positions 333 to 655 of the family's 1533-position model. The record is from RNAcentral.
CUUCUCCUACGGGACGCAGCAGUGGGGGAUAUUGCACAAUGGGGGGAACCCUGAUGCAGCGACGCCGCGUGGGUGAAGGAGCGUUUCGGCGCGUAAAGCCCUAUCGGCAGGGAAGAAGAUGACGGUAUCUGACCAAGAAGCCCCGGCUAACUACGUGCCAGCAGCUGCGGUAAUACGUAGGGGGCAAGCGUUAUCCGGAUUUACUGGGUGUAAAGGGGGCGCAGACGGCAAUGCAAGCCAGGAGUGAAAGCCCGGGGCCCAACCCCGGGACUGCUCUUGGGACUGCAUGGCUGGAGGACAGGAGG